RNAcentral lists this ribosomal RNA (236 nucleotides) under uncultured bacterium. RNAcentral's name for it is "partial 16S ribosomal RNA". It matches the Rfam family "Bacterial small subunit ribosomal RNA", at positions 118 to 351 of the family's 1533-position model. The record is from RNAcentral.
UGAGCGACCUACCUAAUUGUGGGGGAUAGCCGGCCCAACGGCCGGGUAAUACCGCAUACGAUCGGAGAGGGGCAUCCCUUUCUGAGGAAAGCCUUCGGGCGCAAUUUGAGGGGCUCGCGGCCUAUCAGCUAGUUGGCGGGGUAACGGCCCACCAAGGCGACGACGGGUAGCUGGUCUGAGAGGAUGGCCAGCCACAUUGGGACUGAGACACGGCCCAGACUCCUACGGGGAGGCAG